Long non-coding RNA from Mustela lutreola (European mink), 10980 nucleotides. RefSeq lists it as uncharacterized. The transcript is spliced from 3 exons. Lineage: Eukaryota; Metazoa; Chordata; Mammalia; Carnivora; Mustelidae. The record is from RefSeq and is a predicted model, not a curated record.
AGGCGGGGGGCACUCUGACGCGUCGCCUCUGGGAGAACCGAGAGACCCACAGUGAGCAGAGUUGACCACCGAGAGCCGGGGCCUCCCGGGGCGUAGGCGGGGAGAGCUCUCGAGUGACGGGGGAGCUCUGACCGUGCAAGCUUGAGAGGCAGACUGCCUUCAGCUCAGGUCCUAGGAAUUUCAGACAAGGCCGGAUUACCACCUGUAAACCAGAGACAACUUGUCAUUUGAAUGAACAGAAUCAUGAACUAAAAUAAAAAGGAAAGUAAUGUAUCUUGAUUGUGACAGUAUGCGGAGGCUAUCUUACCCACCACUGUUGGAAUAUGAUAGUGACAGUCUCCUGUGGAAACUCCCCCACUGGCUGAACCCAAGAAGAAGCCCAGGGGAACUAAGCCGAGAUGACAGUGUCCUUCAAGGCCAGCUGCUGGAAAAGGACAGAGGGUAGAUCUGGAAAGACAAAGGCAAAAUAUCUAGCAGGUGUGUGGUCAUAGAACAAUGCGAGAACUGUCUAAGCGUAUGGCCAAGGAGCUUCAGGGAAUCCAGAAACCAGGGUUCCAGAGAGAAUAAGUGAAGGUAGCUGGAGAGUAGGUAAGGCAGGUGGAGGGAACAGAAAAGAUCAUCAACUCAGACUGAGACAAGGAUGAGAGGCAGAAGCAGGUGCAUUUUAUUUUUUGGCCAAAUACUUAGCUGGAGACGGAGCUCUGAAAGAGAUUAAUAGGAGAUACAGGAACUAAAUUAGACUAGAGCUCUGGAAAUUCUUCCCCUAUUGGCUAUUACCCUAUAUUUCUCCUUCCUCACUAAACUGCAUGCGUUCAACAAAUAAUUGCUUAGUACCUAUCAUGUUCCAGGAACUGUUAGGCCCUGGGGAUUGAGGAGAGAACAAAAUUAACAUUCUUGCCGUCCUGCAGGUUACUUCCCGGUGGGGGGAGACAGACCAUAGAUAAGCAAAUAUAUCAAGGAAUGAUAAGUGUUAUAAAGAAAAAAUGGGGGAGAGCAGGGAAAUAAAAUUCUGCCCUUUCUAUAUCUUAAAAACCUCUCAAUUUAAACCACACAGCCCCCUCCCCCCCAACACACAUCUGAGCUCCUGAAUAAAUUAGGCUGUGUGUAUCUCUCACCUGGACAAAGAUCAUAAUACCUUCCUCCCUCCAGCACCCCGGCCAGUUCUGCUCUCUGUGGGGAGGAGCUUCCUGAAAUGAAUCAUGUCAGUACCCUGCUUAAAAUCCUCCAAAGCUCUUAUUUGCCCACAGUGUGGAAUACUGUCUAAGCUCCUCAUCAUGGAUCUUUUCUUAUCUUCUCUGUCCAUCACGUGCCUCUACCUCUCCCACUCUCCUCUUCUGCCCGUACUGGUAUGCUUGUUCAUGCUGCCUUACCACUGCAAGGGCCUUCCCAUGCCCUCCCCCUUCCCCAGAAUUUGGCAAUUUCCUCUUUAUUCUUCUAAACCUCUUAGCUAUCACCUCUUUGGUCAAGCUCCCCUGGCUUUCCCAAGUGGGAAGGAGCAUCUCCCAGCUCCCUCCUUCAUGUUACCAGUGUAUCUUAUAGGUACCUAUGAAUACAUUUAUCACACCGUAUAAUCUUAUUUUCUGGAUCUCAAGAUGUACAGAAAUGGGUUUGGGACACCUGGGUGGCUCAAUGGGUUGAGCCUCUGCCUUCGGCUCAGGUCAUAAUCUUGGCGUCCUGGGAUGGAGCCUGGAAUCCAGCUCUCUGCUCAGGGGAGAGCCUGCUUCUCUCUCCCUUUCCCUCUGCCCCCCCCCAUAUAAAUAAUAUCUUAAAAUAUAAUCCAUGGGUCAGAAUCCUAUGUUCAUUGGUUCACGUAUGUCUCUCUUGUAUUACUAAUCAUCCAGCCUAAAAACUUGUAUUGACAACUGACAUAUAUCCCCCACACCCUGACCCCCAAUGCUUAAUCUUGUGUUUAUCAUUUUCUGGCUUCUAAAAAUAUUUUUAGCUAGAAAAAAAAAAUUUUUAAGAGUUUAUUUAUUUGACAGAGAAAGAGCUCACAAGUAGGCAGAGAGGCAGGCAGAGAGAGAGGGGGGAAGCAGGCUCCCCGCUGAGCAGAGAGCCCAUGCAGGGCUUGAUCCCAGGACCCUGAGAUCACGACCUGAGCCGAAGGCAGAGGCUCAACCCACUGAGCUACCCAGGCGCCCCAAGAAAAUAUUUUUUUAAAUCAAUUUUUUAAAUUGCCCUAGCUUUGAUUUCAUGGAUAUGUGCAAUCUAAAAGGAAAAAACAAAACAAAACAAAUGAACAAACAAAAAGCAGAAACAGACCGGUAAAUACAGAGAAUGGAAGGUUGCCCGCAGGGAGGGGGUGGGGGGAGGACAAAACGGAUGAAAGGAAUAGAAGACACGGGCUUCCCGUUAUGGGAUAAAUAAGUCACAAGGAUGAAAGGUACAGGGUAGGGAAUGUAGUCAGUCAAUAGUAUGGUAGUGGCCUUUAUGUGGUGACAGAUGGUAACAACACUUGCGUGGUGAGCCAAGCAUAAGGAACAGACUUGUCAAAUCACUGUGUUGUACACCUGAAACCAAAUGUAAUAUUCAGUGUGUCAACUGUACUUCAAUUUAAAAAAUGACCCUAGCUUUAUAAAAGUUUAAAAGUCUUGCUUUUUUAAAAAAAAAAAGUUGAGGGGCGCCUGGGUGGCUCAGUGGGUUAAGCCGCUGCCUUCGGCUCAGGUCAUGAUCUCGGGGUCCUGAGAUCAAGUCCCGCAUCGGGCUCUCUGCUCAGCAGGGAGCCUGCUUCCCUCUCUCUCUCUCUCUGCCUGCCUCUCCAUCUACUUGUGAUUUCUCUCUGUCAAAUAAAUAAAUAAAAUCUUUAAAAAAAAAAAAAAGUUGAGAUUGAAUGUGUUUAUGUAUCUUUACUAACUAUAUACAUUUCCUCUUGUGAAAUAUCUGUUCAUAUCUUUUUGCCCAUUUUCUAUUAGUUUUUUAUCUUUUUCUCAUUAAUUUUCAGAAUUUCCUUAUAUGUUCUUUUAAUAUUCCUGUAGAGUUUUUUUUCCCCUUAGAAUUCAAGUAAACAGAAAAGUUUAAUUUCUAGAACUGUGUGUAUGUCUAUGUAUUUGCAUAUACAUGUAAGUAUAUAUUUGUGUAUGUGAGCCUACAAACAUAGUCCCAACACAUGUAUUUUAGUUGCUUUCUUUAUUAAAGAGCAUCAUUCCCUACAUAAUAUCCUGGGACUUCUUUCUUUUCUUUUUUUUUUUUUUUAAGAUUUUAUUUAUUUAUUUGACAGAGGGAGUGAGAGCACAAGCAGGGGGAGGAGCCGAGAGAGAAGCAGGCCCCCCUGCUGAGCAGGGAGCCCAACACAGGACUCAAUCCCAGGACGCUGGGACCAUGACCCAAGCCAAAGGCAGAUGCUUAACCGGCUGAGUCACCCAGGUGCCCCUAUCCUGGGACUUCUUUUUCACUUUCCAUGUGAUAUUGCUAAGAUUUAUCUCGGGCAUGCUGCGAGUAGCUGAGUUUAUUUACUGUGGCUGUUACAGGUUAUUCUAGAAUGUGAUUACACUAAUACUACUUUGCCCCUUGCAGCAGAGGCCCUUAGUACACUGUAUUUUCCCCUUGGCUCACCUCUGAUUUUAGCCAAAUACAUCGUGGCCAGUUUCCUGGGAGCUCCCAAACACUGGCAAUUCCUACUAUUAGGAAUUCCUACUGUUAGGCCUUGGGUUUCUCCAGUUUCGGGCCCAGGCCCUUUCUGCUAGGAGAGCUUCUCAGCAUCCCCUCAGGCACAGCCUGAUAGUAAGGAGAGUUAACCCUCAACUAAUAUGGGAUUCAAGCCAAGGGAUAAAAGCCCCAGGCUCCCAUCCUUCAGAGGGCAGUUCUGGAAGGCACUUUGUAUGCUUCCUAGAGGCGUCUGUGGAACCACAUGCUCUGAGUCAGCUCUUCUUCCUCCUCUGCCUCAUCCUCCUGUCCUUCACUCCCGCUGCCUGAGAUCACUUCCCGAAUAAACAGCCUGCACCCAAGUCCUUGACCCAGUCUCUGCUUUUGAGGAGCUCAAACUAAUACAGCCAAUGUGCUGAUAAUGAGCGUUUGGGCUGUUGCAGGUUUUUGCUGUUGCAAAAGUGCUGCUAAGAAAAUUCGUGUAAAGCCCACUGGUGCACAAGUGUAAGAAUUUCUCCCGUGUAUUAAUACAGGAGCAGAGAUGCUGGGUCAAAGGCUACGCCGACUUUCAGCUCUACGAGAUAAUUCCAGACUGUUUACCAAAGUGCUUUUUACCAAUUCACAGUUUCAGCAACAUUGUAUAUGGGGCCCUACUGCUCCACAUCCUCUCCUGCACUUGGGAUUGUCAGAUUUCUUAAUUUUCACCACUUUUAACAUGGGUAUCAAAUGAAAUCUCAUUGUGGUCUCAAUUUGUAUUUCCUGAUGAUUCAUGAGAUUGAACAGGUCCUCCUAUACUUAUUGACCAUAAAUGUUUCAUCUGGGAAAUUCUUAGCUUUUGCCCAUUUUUGCAUUGAUUGAUUGUCCUUUCCUCAUUAAUUUCACUAAUCCUUUUUUUUUUUUAAUUUUUAUUAAUGUAUUUAAGUCAUCUCUACCUCCAUCACAGGACUCGAACUCACAAUCCAAGAUCAAGAGUCACAUGCUUCACCAACCCAACCAGCCAGACGCCCCUAAUUUUACUAAUUCUGGGACAGUUAUGGGUUUUCCCCCCUUGGCAAUCAGGUGCUCAGAAUUGAAUUAAUCACAGUCUUUACCCAAUAAGACCUUUUUUCUGGUUACAAAACUAAGGCAUGCUUGUCAUAAAAGAAACACGUGAAGAAUACAAACAUGUCUAGCUUAGAGAAAGUCUCCUAAAUUUAGGUCAGCUCCACCCCACCUCUGAGCAGGAAGAACUCCCACAAGUUUGUUGCCCCAUACUUUGGGGAUUUUGUUUUCACGUAUGUCUCCCAAACCGGAUAGGUUCUCAAAAGAAAGGACUGUGUGUGGUAGUCACCCUCACACUCUUAGCCCCAGGCAAAGUCCUGGCUUAGAUCAGGAAUGUAGCACAUCACUGUUGAACUCACUCCUGAAACGUGGGUCAGAAUAAGUUUUUAAGGUACAACACUUCAGUUUGACCAGAACAGAAGACUAGAAGACUCAGGUCGGAGAAAAACGGAGGCUCAUACUUGUAACAUGCUCUGGGGCUUGAUUACUUAAAGACUUAGCCAUUGGGCUGAAGUAUCUGGUUUAUAUCUUGGAGGCAGCCAGCUGAGGAGGCACUCAAGGCCACUUUGAGUGCAGGGAAGUUUUUUUUUUUUAUCAGCGACAGAAUUAAAAUAAAACAUCGACAAUCUAGCCAUCUAACAUCAGAGUACGGGAUGUAAGGGGGGGUUGGGGAAAAUAAGAGAGAAGACAGAGGAAUGAAUGAAUCCAGAAGUUAUCAACUUUGGGGGUGGGGAGUCAGACUUCUUUGAAAAAGUCAUGAGAACUGGGUCUUUUUUCAGAAAAAUAGACGUAAACAUCAGCCUCUGCACCUUUUUUUUAAGGCUUUUUUUUGUUUUGUUUUAUCUUAUUUUAUUUUAUUUUUUAAGAUUUUUUAUUUAUCCAUUGGACAGACAGUAGUAGUAGACACAAGUAGGCAGAGAGGCAGGCAGAGAGAGAGAGAGAGAGAGAGAGGGAAGCAGGCUCCCUGCUGAGCAGAGAGCCUGCUGCAGGGCUUGAUCCCAGGACCUUGGAAUCAUGACCUGAGCCGAAGGCAGAUGCUUUAACCCACUGAGCCACCCAGGAGCCCCUGUUUUGUUUUAUUUAAGUCAUCUCAACACCCAAUGUGGGGCUCUAACUCGCAAUCCUGAGAUCAGGAGUCCCAUGCUAGGCAAGUCAGCUAGGCGUCCCAGCCCCUGCACUUUUUAAGAACCUGUGAUCAGUGGGCUGUUCUAAGAACAAGAGACAAAGACUCUGAGCCGUGAUGGUAGAAUGUGUUUAUUCACUCAGACAUGCUGAUCUGUCUCCAACUGGGCGCAAGGCACCGUGUUGACUGCUAGGCACACAGGCCGUCCGAUUUCAAGCAUGGAGUAGAGUACAGUGUGGCAAGAGCUCAGACUCUGAGCCGAACUGCCUGCUUCCAAAACUGCUGCCAGGUGACCUUGGCUAAUUUGCAGAAGCCAUAGGCCCUCUGCAGGUGUCUCACAGAGACCAUUCUAUCAUCACCCUCAUUGUUAAGGGAAUCCACAUCCCAAUAAAACACUUAGAAUUCAAGGCAUGGAGGGAGCCCUUGGCAUAGCCUUAAGGCAGAAACCAGAAUGAAGAGCAAAAGGAGGAAGCAGAGAGCGCAGGCUUGAUUUCAAGAGCUUGGGCUAAAAUGGAGGAGGGGAGAUAGGCAGUAACUAGAGGGGGAAGUGAGGGCGAGGGGAAAAAAAAUUUUUUUUAAAGAUGGGUGAGAUCCUAAAUGCUAUGCUAUGGGGAGGACGCCGCGGAGUGGGAGAAGCUGAAGGCAAAUCGCUGAUGAUCUGUUUUUUUCCCCUAAAGCAGCCCAGAAGGCAGACGGGAGGGCUCUAGGGCAGAGGUGGAGGGUCCGGCUUUAGCUGGGAAGCCACUUCCGCUUGUGAGCUGGAGGGGAGGAGUCGACUGUGGUGUGGCUGCAGGUGCAGGCUCUGGGCUCCGAAGUAACCACAGGCCACCGAGAAGGAAUGCCACCCAUGGGGGAGGGGCGGCGAGCAGGGGCUGGUGGGAGGUCUGAGGAGAGGGAACAAGUGGCCAGCUGGCUGAGCAUUUUAAAGGGGGGCUGGCCAGAGAGUAGAGGAAGGGAGGAAAUGCCCAGGGAUCACUCAGGAUGAGUUUAUAAGGUCACGGAUCCUCCGCCUGGCUGGGGAACUUCUGGUGGUCAUCGCAGGAGGAGAAGAGCAUCCAAAGAAUGAGCGGUGAGCGCUGAGUGAAGUCAGAAGGAAUGGGAACUGCAGGAAACCGCUGGAUUGGCCAACCCACUGGUCACUGCUGAAACGGUACCUUGAGAAUCACUCUAGUGAGUGUCAGAGCGGAUGACAGACACAUGGCUGGGAAGAAAGGAAGGAAAGAGCGGGUCAGCAGUAAACUACCCGUAAUCUGAGAUCUGACUAUGCAAUGAAGGGGAAAGUCAGACAUUAACCAAAGAGUCAAGUGGGGCUUAUUUUUCUUUCUAAAAGUCAGGAGAGGUACCUAUGUGUACACAGAUGUAUAUGCAGUAUUUUUUAAGGCAAAGCCAACGGUUGUAGAUACUGGCAGGAAAGGGAGGAGUGAAGCCCCAGUUCAGUGGGGUAUGAUGCAAGCAUAUGGUAAUAAACAGCUGCUCUGGGCCAGGUGUUUUCCAGAAGACUCUGUCGUCCCCAAUAUGCAGAGGAGAAAACUGAGGCUCAGAAAAGUUACUUGCCCCAAAUCACACUGCUAUUAUGUGAUGGAGCCAGGAUUUAAAACCAGGUCACAUCACUCCAAAGCCCCAGUACUUCCAAGCCCUAUCCCACAGACAGGCGGAAAUGUUGACACUACUGAAAGGGAGGAGGGGUACUUCUCUUGGCACCCAGGAAAGGAAGAAAGACUUGGAAGACAUGUGUGUGCUGAAGAUCUUGUGUUUAUUUAGAGUUAUUCUCCUUCCCACUCACAUGAAUAAGCAUAUGGACUUUUAAAGUUGGCAUCGCUGAGGAAGCCUAACUUGACAUAGAAAAAGAUUGAGCCAGAGGACUGAGUUAACCUUUCUGCAGCAAGAGAACUGAUUGGACAUGGCCAAGAGAGUUAAAGCUGAAGACCCAGGGCAGGUGUGUGGCUACCUGAUUCACCCAACCCUCUACCCAAAUGGUUGCUUUUUGGGAGGAUCAAUCUUCCCUUAAUUCAAGAGAAGAGGAGGGAAAUCUGCAUAGGUUCGCAAGUUGUUUUCUGCAGCGAUGGACUUGAGGCAUUUUAUGAUGUAUUCUUCAUCUAUCAAUAUUUUCUCUUUUUUUAAGAUUUUACUCAUUUAUUUGUCAGAGAGUGAGAGAGAGAGAGCAUAUGAAGGGGGACUGACAGAGGGAGAGGGAAAGGCAGACGAGGCCUAUGACAACGAUGUGGGGCUCGAUCCCAGGUACCCGGGGAUCAUGACCUCAGCUAAAUGAAGACAGACCUUUAACCAACUGAGCCACCCAGCUGCCCAUCAAUAUUUUCUGGUAGGUGAUUUCAAAAAUAACUGCCUAAAGAACAGAUCUCAUUUCUUUUUGCCAAAUCCCAUGUGCAGGGAACACAGAGAAAACCAAAACCAAACCAUAGCCCAAAGGGAACUGUGUAGUGUUAUGGUCAGGUCACAGGCCAGGGCCUGAGACAGAAACUGAGAGCUGUGGUAACUAGGCAAACAGGACCCAAGGUCAGGACGCAGGCAGCAGACCCUAUUGCCACACCAAUGUCCCAGCUCCAGAGGUCACACCAAAAGCAGUGGAGAAAAUGCCAGGGUUCAAGGGCAUGUAGCAGACCAGGAAAGGACAGAAAAAGCAGCUCUGAGCAGAAAGGAGGUAGUCACCUGACCUCACUUGAAAACUAACCUCUACAUACCCAUGAAGGCCAUUUUAAGUCACCUAGUGGCCUAUUAAAAACAAGUGAAAAGCAACAAGUGAAAUCAAACUUCACUUAACUGAAUAUAUCAGAAUAUAUCUGAAUAUAUCAGAAUAUAUCAGAAUUACUAGCGCCCAGCUGGCUCAGUCAGUGGAGCACGUGACUCUUGAUCUCAGGGUCCUGAGUUCAAGCCCCAUGUGAAUAUGGAACCUACUUCAUUAGAAGAAGAAGAAGAAUUAUCAUUUCACAUUGUAAUCAAACAGCCAAUAGUUUAAAUUCCUUUUUCAUGCUAAGUCUUCAAGAUCUAGAAUAUGACUUUUUUUUUUUUUAAAGAUUUUAUUUAUUCAUUUGAGAGAGAGACAGAGAGAGCACAAGCAGGGGAAGGGGCAGAGGGAGAAGAAGAAGCAGACUCCCCACUGAGUUGGGAGUCUGAUGUGGGACUUGAUCCCAGGACCUUGAGAUCAUGAGAUCUGAGCCACCCAGGGGCCCCUGCAACAUGUCUUGUACUUGCAGUACAUCUCAGUCUGAACUAGCCUCCUUCCUAAUUGUCGGUGUCCUCUGGGGCUAGUGGUCUUUGUGUCAGUCAACACAGGUUUAGAGAAAACCAUACUUAACAUUCUAACAUUAAAGUAUUUUCUCUAUUUUUCCUUCUCUCUUUCUUCCUUUUAAAACAUGUUCAGGUGGGAAGGGCUGGAUUUUGAGGGGAGUGGGAGAAAACUCUCAGAUGCUGAGAAUCUCUAAUGUGAAAUUUUAUUGAUUAUUUUUUUAAAGAUUUUAUUUAUUUAUUUGGCACAAAGAGAGAAAGGCAGGCAGAGGGAGAAGCAGGCUUCCCACUGAGCAGGGAGCCCAAUGAGGGCCUCAAUCCCAGGACCCUGGAAUCAUGACCUGAGCCAAAGGCUGUGCUUAACUGACUGAGCCACCCAGGCGUCCAUCUAGUGUGAAAUUUUAAACGAUUCAAGUAUUGCUCUCCUCGUCGGUUUCUUUCCUUUCCUUGAGAGAUGCUGCUGCUGCUGCUGCUUUUUUCCCUCUUCUUCUGCUCCUCUUUUUUAAGCCCCACGAUGCACAGAAAUCCCUGGGAAGAUAAUGUGACACAGGUGGGUGCCCACUACCGAGCAUUAAUUCCUCAUUCAUUCAUUCAUUCAUUCAUGUUUGCUCGUAACAGCAAUUACUGCUCUUCACCUACCUGUGGGGACAGAGUCUGAGGUUAGUCUUCCAGGCAUAGUCCCUGGCUUGUGAAACCUACGAUUUGGCAGAAAAGUCAGAGAAAUAGUCACCAUAAAAUGUAGUCAGUGUUAGGAAAGGGAAGUCUGAGCUGCUGAGCGGCCACCUGGGGGAAUCGUGGAAUCCAUCUCUGGAGAUGAGAUUAGAGAGGAGACAGCUGGAGGGAUAGAGGAAGGAAGGCAGAUUGAAGGAAGAACCGCUGAGCAAAAGGGAGAAGGGAGAGCUGGAAAAUGCUAGAAGGAGAAGGAGCACUGUAAGGAAGGCCCAGAAGCCUUUUGUGGCGCUGAAUGGGGUUCCCCAUGACUGGGGCCUCCGCGGGGAGUGGGAAUGCCAGUUUCAGGCAUCAUUCUCUGGGCGGCCCUGUGAGUGGUGCGAGCUGGGAGGCAGGAUGUUGACAAAUUGGGAAUAGGCAGGCCCAAGACAGGAAGUACUCCACCCUGAAAACACUCCUUGAACCGAGGCAGCUCGGUUCAAGUUCACUAGUUACACACUCGGAUGUGUUCGUGAGCUGCUCUCGUGUUCUUUCUCACUCUCCUUUUUUUUUUUUUUUAGAUUCCAGUAUAGUUAACAUACAGUGUGAUGUUAGUUUCAGGCGUGCAGUACAGUGAUUCACCACUUCCCUACGUCACCCGCACUCAUCAGGAUAGCGCCCUCUUGAGCCCUUCCCCUAUUGCUCCCAACCCCCCACCCACCUCCCCUCUGGGAGCCACUAGUUCUCUGGAGUGAAGGGUCUGUGUUUUAUGUAGAAGCAAGAUUCUCUCCUACAGUGAUUAUUCUCUUUUCCGAUUAUCUCAGGCCUUGAAGCCUUUGUUUUGAUUCAGAAAAUUGGACACGACUGAAGUUCCAUGUAAUCAAGGUCAUAUAAAAGUACAUAUAAAAUACAGGAGUGGGAUUAAUGAGCGGGUGUUAACUCUGCCCAGGGGAGGUCUGUGGAGGCUUCCCACGGCGGAUGACACUUCAGCAGGGUCUGGAAGAAGAAGUAGGAUUGUCAGGUCUCCAGAUGGAAGGAGGUUCUGAUGAUAAGAAUGAUCAUUAUUUAUUAAGUGUCAGGCAGGCACUGUUCUCAUGGUUUACAUUCUGAGCUCACUUUAGUUCCAUAAAACCCCCUAGAUCCCUCAAUCCUUAUUUACAGGAAAAGAGGUACAAAGAGGUAAAUUAAAGUGACUUGUCGGGAUGCCUGGGGAGCUCCAUAGGUUAAGCGUGGGUCUUCUGCUCAGGUCAUGAUCCCGGGGUCCUGGGAUGGAGCCCCGCAUCGUGCUCUUUGCUCAGUGGGGAGUCUGCUUCUCCCUCUGCCUGCUGCUCCCCCUGCUUGUU